CCUGAAUUGUUUAAUUUUUAUUUUUUAUUUCAAAGAAAAAAAGAAUUGGCACGAUUGAAGGGACGACCUGCGAUGUGGAAACGCAUGGAGCUCAUUCUGAAGGAAAUUGGAGUUAUUUUCUUUUGCAGAGCUCGGAAGGACGUGGAAUGGGAUGAGGAAAAGGAACAAUUCCACACCAAGAAUAAAGCGCCACACAGAUAAGUUGUUAAUCUAUUUGCAGGGCGGAUGUAAAGCGUAAACAGGAGGGGGCAGAGUACGGAGCUUUGAGGUUUGCCUUGGUUGACAGUUGCUCUGGGAGGUAGUUUGGUGGUAGGUCUGAUUUGUAAUGAGGGCAGGCAUGGAAAGUGUCGGGAGAGCUGACAGUUGGACGUGGUGGUUUGGUUCAGUGGUCUUUGCGAAGGAAGGAAGGUUGAGACGGUCUGCAGGUUGUUAGGCUUGUCUCUGUCCCGAGCAGCUCUUUGUUUUGAGUUGAUGUUUACAGUGCAGGUUUUGAAUGAGGAAUUUAUCAUAUUGAUAGAAACAAAAUCGUUUUUCAGGGUGAAGACCAACAAUUGUACACAACCGGCAUGCAGUUCCAAGAUGAACAGCUUCUUCUCCCUUGAGCAAUGAAGAAUAAAAGUGGAAAUGAUGUGCUGCUUCAAGAGCCAAGCAACAACUGUACAAGGAGAGUAUGUUUUAUUUACUUUGCGUUAGUCUACUUCCUCACUAACUCACUGGGUGUGCGUGGACUAACACUGAUUUGUGAUUAUUUUUGUGUACUUGGCUGUGCAUCGAGUCAAGGCAACAAUGCUGUUAAACUGAAAUGUACUUUUGAAAAAUGUGCUUUUGGUUUUUGUUUUUGACGAAGUGGGAAGUUGUUUCAAGUGUGGUUUUACUAUUUGAAUUAAACUUGUAGCAAUGUUAAAGUGUGACUACAUGGACAAGCAUACAUAACUUGAAUUCAGUCUAAGGCACUUUAAACAAUGUAGAGUAAGGUUUUCGCAUGCCAGCAAGCAAAUGUUUGGAACAGUGCUAAUGUCCUUGUUGCAGGGUUUUCACUGGUACAGCUUAGUGGCUUGUGUUGGUUGACUGCAGCGACAGUUUGUUUUUUGUGUGUUUAGAAAGGUCUGAUUUGUCACGAUGCUGCGCAGGCAUGGGAAGUGUUCGUAGGUCUGAUGUUGGACAGAAGUCGCUGCAGUCAAGUGUUGUCGGUGGACUUGCGAUGGUGUGGAGUUUUUUGGCUUGUUGUAGUUUUAAGGAUGGCACUUUGAAAACUGGAGUGAGCAGGGUUUUGAGGGAGGACUUCAUAGUAUUAAUUAUUUUCCCCCCCUUCUGCCUUAGGGUGGAGGAGAUGGCAGAUUGGGUGAGAGGCGCCAAGAUGAACUGGACCAGGUAUUUGCAUCAAGAUUGAAGGGAUGACCUGAGACAUGGCAACGCAUGGUGCUCGUUCUGAAGGAAAUCAGAGGUUGGAUGAGGAUGAGACGUUUGGGUGAGGUGGCAAGAAAGAGGACUAGAAUUGGGUAAUUGGUGCAAAUGUGCAUAAAUAAAGGUGACAUGCUUCAGAGUAAUGGUGUGUGCUUGUUUUGUAGAAUGGAAGAGGAGCUGGAUGAAAGAGAAGCCAAUGAAACACAUUAACUGGAAAAAAACAAGAAAUGAAGUGGCACGCUUUUUUUUCCUCUAUUUUCUUCUUUUGCAGGGCUCGGAAAGGACGUGGAAUGGGAUGAGGAAAAGGAAGAAUUCCGCACCAAGAAUAAAGCGGCACACAGAUAAGUUGUUUGUUCAUCUAUUUGCAGGCUGGAUGUAAAGAGUAAACGGGAGGGGGCAGAGUACGGAGCUUUGAGGUUUGCUUUGGUUGACAGUUGCUAUGGAAGGUAGUUUGGCGGUAGGUGUGAUUGUAACGAGGGCAGGCAUGGAAAGUGUCGGUAGAGUGGGUAGUUGGACGUGGUGGUUUGGUACAGUGGUUGUUGCGAAGGAAGGAAGGAAGGAAGGUUGAGAUGGUCUGCGGGUUGUUUGGCUUGUUUCAGUCCCGAGCAGCUCUUUGUUUUGAGUUGACGUUUACAGUGUAGACUUUAAAUGACUUAUGAAGUUGAUCAAAACCAGCGAAUAUUUGUAUUUUUUAUUGGAUUUUUUUUCAGGGUGAAUACCAACAAUUAUACACAACCGGCACAAAGUUCCAACAAGAACGGCUUCUUCUCCCUUGAGGCAAGUUUGCAAAUUAUCAAUUGCAACGUCACUUCCGAUCGCCCUCGCAGUGGGUGGAGUGGCAAAUGUUUAUUUUUUUUAAGUGAGUUUGUCUUCUUGGUCAGCGGUAACAGCUAGUUUGUACUCGUGAGAGAAAGCUAACAUUUGUAUGGAUUUGCAACCCUGUUGCACCUUCUCCAGUUUAGUCAGACUUUAGAAAUAUUUGUAAUUUAACUCUGAGAUACAAUGUAGUUACUCUACAUAUUGGAGACACAUUUCAGAAUUUGACUUCCUGAAUUGUUUGUUUUUUUAUUUUUGAAAAGUAUUUGCAUCAAGAUUGAAGGCAUCACCUGCGAUAUGGAAACGCAUGCAGCUCAUUCUGAAGGAAAUGGGAGGUAAAAUCCCAGAUGUGACAGGUGCAUUUGUUUCUUAGUUUUGUGAUGCGCCCUGCACACAAUACCAACAGCGUAUUAAAGGUUAUUAAAAGAACACUUUGGUGUAU
Phyllopteryx taeniolatus (common seadragon) is the source of this 2662-nucleotide long non-coding RNA. RefSeq lists it as uncharacterized. NCBI's taxonomy places the organism in Eukaryota, Metazoa, Chordata, Actinopteri, Syngnathiformes, Syngnathidae. The transcript is spliced from 5 exons. The record is from RefSeq and is a predicted model, not a curated record.